RNAcentral lists this ribosomal RNA (330 nucleotides) under uncultured eukaryote. RNAcentral describes it as "bacterial SSU rRNA". It matches the Rfam family "Eukaryotic small subunit ribosomal RNA", at positions 21 to 373 of the family's 1831-position model. The record is from RNAcentral.
AUUGUAGUCAUAUGCUUGUCUCGCAGAUUAAGCCAUGCAUGUCUAAGUAUAAGCAUUAUACAGUGAAACUGCGAAUGGCUCAUUAAAACAGUUAUUGUUUGCUUGGAGUUUUAUCCACCGGAUAUCCGUGGAAAUCCUACAGUUAAUACGUACAUCCUUCUUUGAAGGGUUGCAUAUUAAUCUGAAUGGACGAUGUGCUUGCACAUCAAAUUUGAAUACUUAUAUGCACGGAUCGUAUUUUAUGCGAGCGUCCAUCAAAGUUUCUGACCUAUCAGGUUCCGACGGUUGGGUAUUGGCCAACCGUGCCUACAACGGGUAACGGGGAAUAAU